CUCUCCCUAUAUCAGGGGAGAUAGCCUAGUUUUUCAGCUAUCUCCGUACUUACUGUGCCUGUCUCACAUGACUGGCCCCACAUACAGCCCUGUUAUUACAGGGGGGUGAGCCUCCCCCACCCCCCCCAUCCAUAUUUCUGGGGCUCUACCUGCUACUGCACCAUAAUAAUGGACGUGUGACACCAUUGUGGGCUGGGCAACCCCCUCCCU
Non-coding RNA from Pelobates cultripes (western spadefoot toad), 210 nucleotides. NCBI's taxonomy places the organism in Eukaryota, Metazoa, Chordata, Amphibia, Anura, Pelobatidae. The record is from the annotation of a GenBank genome assembly.